AGAAUCAACGCUGGCGGCGUGCCUAACACAUGCAAGUCGAACGAGAAAGUGGAGCAAUCCAUGAGUAAAGUGGCGACCGGGUGAGUAACACGUGACUAACCUACCUUCGAGUGGGGGAUAACCUCGGGAAACCGAGGCUAAUACCGCAUAACAUCGCAAGAUCAAAGCAGCAAUGCGCUGGAAGAGGUGGUCGCGGCUGAUUAGCUAGUUGGCGGGGUAAUGGCCCACCAAGGCGAAGAUCGGUA
Molecule: ribosomal RNA, 245 nt
Filed under: uncultured bacterium
Lineage: Bacteria
Description: partial small subunit ribosomal RNA
Rfam family: Bacterial small subunit ribosomal RNA
Source: RNAcentral